CAGCAGUAGCCACGGUAAUACAGAGGGUGCGAGCGUUAAUCGGAUUUACUGGGCGUAAAGCGUGCGUAGGCGGCUUUUUAAGUCGGAUGUGAAAUCCCUGAGCUUAACUUAGGAAUUGCAUUCGAUACUGGGAAGCUAGAGUAUGGGAGAGGAUGGUAGAAUUCCAGGUGUAGCGGUGAAAUGCGUAGAGAUCUGGAGGAAUACCGAUGGCGAAGGCAGCCAUCUGGCCUAAUACUGACGCUGAGGUACGAAAGCAUGGGGAGCAAACAGGAUUAGAUACCCGCGUAGUCCCUGUCUCUUAUAC
RNAcentral lists this ribosomal RNA (304 nucleotides) under uncultured bacterium. RNAcentral describes it as "partial 16S ribosomal RNA". It matches the Rfam family "Bacterial small subunit ribosomal RNA", at positions 506 to 807 of the family's 1533-position model. The record is from RNAcentral.